UACGGAGGGUGCAAGCGUUAUCCGGAUUCACUGGGUUUAAAGGGUGCGUAGGUGGGCUGGUAAGUCAGUGGUGAAAUCUCCGGGCUUAACUCGGAAACUGCCAUUGGUACUAUCAGUCUUGAAUACCGUGGAGGUCAGUAGAAUAUGUCAUGUAGCGGUGAAAUGCUUAGAUAUGACAUAGAAUACCAAUUGCGAAGGCAGCUGGCUACACGAAUAUUGACACUCAGGCACGAAAGCGUGGGGAUCAAACAGG
This 253-nucleotide ribosomal RNA is filed under the name uncultured bacterium. Its description in RNAcentral is "partial 16S ribosomal RNA". It matches the Rfam family "Bacterial small subunit ribosomal RNA", at positions 524 to 776 of the family's 1533-position model. The record is from RNAcentral.